RNAcentral lists this ribosomal RNA (494 nucleotides) under uncultured bacterium. RNAcentral's name for it is "partial 16S ribosomal RNA". It matches the Rfam family "Bacterial small subunit ribosomal RNA", at positions 28 to 507 of the family's 1533-position model. The record is from RNAcentral.
GACGAACGCUGGCGGCGUGCUUAACACAUGCAAGUCGAACGGUGAAGCGCCUUCCUUUUUGGUGGGUGUGGAUGAGUGGCGAACGGGUGAGUAACACGUGAGUAACCUUCCCCCUUCUUCUGGAUAACCGCAUGAAAGUGUGUCUAAUACGGGAUAUUCUGGUUCUGUCGCAUGAUGGGUCUGUGAAAGCUAUUGUUUCGGUAGGGGAUGGGCUCGCGGCCUAUCAGCUUGUUGGUGGGUUGAUGGCCUAGCACGGCGGUGACGUGUGGCAGGCCUGGGAGGGUGGCCGGCCUGAGAGGGAGUGCGACACGACUGAGACUGAUAUGCGGGGCAGCAGUGGGGAGGAUUGAGCAGUGGGGGAAAGUGUGAUGCAGCGGGGCGGCGUGAGCGAUGGCGGCGUUCGGGUUGUGAACGUCUUUGGGUAGUGAAGCGGGCCUGCCUGGGAUGUGGGGGGAUUGACGGUAGCUGGAUAAGAAGCGCCGGCUAACUACGUG